GCCCUUACUCCUACGGGAGGCAGCAGUGAGGAAUAUUGGUCAAUGGGCGGAAGCCUGAACCAGCCAAGUAGCGUGCAGGACGACUGCCCUAUGGGUUGUAAACUGCUUUUAUGCGGGGAUAAAUGACACUACGUGUAGUGUUUUGCAGGUACCGCAUGAAUAAGGACCGGCUAAUUCCGUGCCAGCAGCCGCGGUAAUACGGAAGGUCCAGGCGUUAUCCGGAUUUAUUGGGUUUAAAGGGAGCGUAGGCCGCCUGGUAAGCGUGUUGUGAAAAAUACCGGCUCAACCGGUAUCCUGCAGCGCGAACUGCCUGGCUUGAGUGUGCGCAACGUUGGCGGAAUUCGUCGUGUAGCGGUGAAAUGCUUAGAUAUGACGAAGAACUCCGAUUGCGAAGGCAGCUGACGGGAGCACAACUGACGCUGAAGCUCGAAAGUGCGGGUAUCGAACAGGAUUAGAUACCCUGGUAGUCCGCACGGUAAACGAUGGAUGCCCGCUGUUUGUCCUGAUGGACAAGCGGCCAAGCGAAAGCGUUAAGCAUCCCACCUGGGGAGUACGCCGGCAACGGUGAAACUCAAAGGAAUUGACGGGGGCCCGCACAAGCGGAGGAACAUGUGGUUUAAUUCGAUGAUACGCGAGGAACCUUACCCGGGCUUGAAUUGCAGAGGAAGGAUUUGGAGACAAUGACGCCCUUCGGGGUCUCUGUGAAGGUGCUGCAUGGUUGUCGUCAGCUCGUGCCGUGAGGUGUCGGCUUAAGUGCCAUAACGAGCGCAACCCCUCUCUUCAGUUGCCAUCAGGUAGAGCUGGGCACUCUGGAGACACUGCCACCGUAAGGUGUGAGGAAGGUGGGGAUGACGUCAAAUCAGCACGGGCCCUUACGUCCGGGGCUACACACGUGUUACAAUGGGGGGUACAGAAAGUCGGUUUUAC
RNAcentral lists this ribosomal RNA (927 nucleotides) under uncultured bacterium. RNAcentral describes it as "bacterial SSU rRNA". It matches the Rfam family "Bacterial small subunit ribosomal RNA", at positions 329 to 1256 of the family's 1533-position model. The record is from RNAcentral.